CUCCUCCUUGGGCUUCUACCAACGUUCCUGUAUCUACUGCUUAGCCUCUUCCUCGGGCCCGGGCCUGUCGUCCAGAAGUCCAGCGACAAGUACAUUCUCAGCUCGUUCCUCUACCCCACCUUUGCCUUAUCUCAUCGUUGUCACAGUCAUCGAGGGGAGCAUACCGAGCAGGCUUCCAGCCUCGGUGCCUUUGGUGUUCUUUGGUUUGAUGCUGCUCAUCGUACUACUUCUGGUUGUUCUGGUUGUCCAAGCUGAGCUUCGAUCACAUUCGAACGGUGCUGGUGUUGUCGAUCAACUCCGAAGCAUCCAGACACCACGAGUAAUUCCUACAUGCCCUACAACGUCGUCUUGGAUGGCCAUGUCUUCUCUGAUCUCGGUAAAGAUCAUACGAUCAAUCCAAGCUAUUUUC
This 409-nucleotide long non-coding RNA is filed under the name Selaginella moellendorffii. Its description in RNAcentral is "long non-coding RNA (SMOE_LNC001205)". Lineage: Eukaryota; Viridiplantae; Streptophyta; Lycopodiopsida; Selaginellales; Selaginellaceae. The record is from RNAcentral.